UCAAAGUGUUCUCUCUCUUCCUCUUCCUGUUGGCGAUUAGGGUUUCAAAGCUUUGUGUAAACACAAUGAAUCUGUGUGAUUAGUGUUUUCAUCCGUUAGUCGUGAGAAGAUUAUCACAUUGAUAAUCUUUUAGGAGUAGUUGAGAGAUUGUUUGUGAGUGUUUCUCUUUGUAAUCAGAUCUGAUCUUUCUGUUGAGUUAUAAUACAACUUGGUUUGGGUAUUGUGUUGAUUCGUGAAGAUCUGUGUUUACCUCCAUGUUUUACAACACAAACAAACAAACAAAGUUGGGCCCACCAUUUGGAUCGUCCUGAACGUCGACAUCUCGACGCUGAAGACGGGGACGGGAUGAAGACGGAGGGGGGCAGGAUGGGAUGACGCCGGCGCCGGUGGAGGACGGACCAGGACGGAGGUCCAUACCGUGCAGCCUUAGUAGGUACUCUUUUCUCGAUAUAUGUGGUGUUCGCCAAUAUAUUGGUCAUCUAACCAAGGAGCAUCACAUUGGCUUUGAAGCAAAUGAAUGGUUAUGACAUUUUGUAGAUGUGUUUUAGUUAUUCUCCUUUGUCUCUAUCUAUUCGUGGGAACGAAUCAAUGGACUGAAAAAUUUAAGCACGAAGACAAAAAGAAGCGGGCUUUUCAAAGAAUUAUUGCAGCUUUCCCACAUGCUUACAUGGGUUUCGCUUAAGUUACAAGAUUUUAAGUUUGUUCGGAUUAGUAAUGAUGUGUUGGUAUAAACACAUAUAUGGAUUGUGUUUGGGUUUAUUAAACUUGCCAACCAAUUAACCAAACAUGAUUUUCACCCUUAA
Helianthus annuus (common sunflower) is the source of this 803-nucleotide long non-coding RNA. RefSeq lists it as uncharacterized. The transcript has 2 exons. The record is from RefSeq and is a predicted model, not a curated record. Lineage: Eukaryota; Viridiplantae; Streptophyta; Magnoliopsida; Asterales; Asteraceae.